This 97-nucleotide transfer RNA is filed under the name compost metagenome. RNAcentral describes it as "tRNA-Ser". The record is from RNAcentral.
UGGCAUCGAGCAGCAGGGUGUCACCGGGGGCCUCGCUCAGGGCGAGGCAGAGGUGCUGAACCCAGCCCAGCAGCAGAUCCUUGCCGUUGAAGCUGCC